Molecule: unclassified non-coding RNA, 916 nt
Filed under: Hevea brasiliensis (rubber tree)
Lineage: Eukaryota; Viridiplantae; Streptophyta; Magnoliopsida; Malpighiales; Euphorbiaceae
Source: RNAcentral
AAUCAUUGCCAGGCUUUUUCCCGACCCAACUUCCAUCUUGUCCCUAACUUCCACUCUUCCUCAAGACAAGCCCCAAUUUCUUCUGUCUCCUUCUCCUCCUUCCACUUGCAUAUAUGUGUGCUUCACAGUUUCAAACAAAAACUCCAUUGGCUUUACCUUUCAAGCCACCAUUUCUACUGCUUUUGUUCAUAUUUUUAUUGCUUUCAGCUCUGAGUUUGUGUUUUUGUAUGCUUAGUUUAUGGAGCUUCAACUAGGUCUUUCCCUCUCAACCACCCACAAUCCUAUUGAUGGAUCGGACAUAAACAACAAAGAGUUCGACCCAAAAGAGAUUCUGAGCUUGAAACCAUGGAGCCAUGAUUAUGGUUGUUUAUUGGACAAGAAACGUAGCUUUGAAGACGCCUUUGGAAAGUUGAAAGAUGCAUCACAAACUUUGCCUUUGCUUUUAUGGAGUGGCCAUCCUAAUGACGAAGAUGAUGACAAGAGAGAAAAGAAGAGGCUCUCUUGCCGCCUUAGCAAAAUUCAUGAAGAGGUACUGGAGGAAGAUGAUCUUGUGGUAGGUUGGCCACCCAUUAAAUCAUGGAGGAAGAAAAUGCUUCGCCAGCGACAAGUUGGUGACCGGAUUGUCAAGAAUCGGGUGGCUGCUGCUGCUGGUGGUUCAGAAAAUAAUGGUGGUUCAAAUUCCAUGUAUGUGAAGGUGAAGAUGGAAGGAGUGGCAAUAGCAAGGAAGGUUGAUCUUAGGCUUUUCCACUCAUAUCAGACACUUACAAGCUCCUUGAUCAGCAUGUUUGACAAAUGCCUGCAACUUGAGAAAGAUAAUGCAAAUUACACGUUGGCAUACCAAGACAAAGAUGGUGAUUGGCUACUUGCAGGAGAUGUUCCAUGGCAGACUUUCAUAGUAUCUGUUCAGCGUCUGGAU